Molecule: ribosomal RNA, 468 nt
Filed under: uncultured bacterium
Lineage: Bacteria
Description: partial 16S ribosomal RNA
Rfam family: Bacterial small subunit ribosomal RNA
Source: RNAcentral
GACGAACGCUGGCGGCGUGCUUAACACAUGCAAGUCGAACGGGAAGGCCCUGCUUUUGUGGGGUGCUCGAGUGGCGAACGGGUGAGUAACACGUGAGUAACCUGCCCUUGACUUUGGGAUAACUUCAGGAAACUGGGGCUAAUACCGGAUAGGAGCUCCAGCUGCAUGGUCGGGGUUGGAAAGUUUCGGCGGUUGGGGAUGGACUCGCGGCUUAUCAGCUUGUUGGUGGGGUAGUGGCUUACCAAGGCUUUGACGGGUAGCCGGCCUGAGAGGGUGACCGGCCACAUUGGGACUGAGAUACGGCCCAGACUCCUACGGGAGGCAGCAGUGGGGAAUAUUGCACAAUGGGCGGAAGCCUGAUGCAGCAACGCCGCGUGCGGGAUGACGGCCUUCGGGUUGUAAACCGCUUUCGCCUGUGACGAAGCGUGAGUGACGGUAAUGGGUAAAGAAGCACCGGCUAACUACGUG